CAAAAGUCAACUAGGAACCCUAAGGACCAAGAUUCAAGACCCACAGCAUCAUGACACAGAGGCAUCAUAAGUCUUCCUGGGAAGGAGUAGGCGAUACCAGAAAAACAAUUUAGAUCCACCCAGACAAAAUGGGUUGUGUAUCCACUACAAUCAGAGACUGAAUGUGUAAUGAAGUGUACGCUUGAGAAGGCCUACAGACCUACACUGAGCCCAGGAACCUAGGUUAAAAUCUGUAGAGAGCAGUCACAUCUGCUAAAUAAAAGCAUGCAAAACCACAAACAAAUAAUGAAAUGACACAGACAAGAGGCUACGGAAAGGAAAUACUGGCUUGCUCUUUAAAAGGCUGUGGAGCUUGUGAGGUGCGGAAGCUGACUGUGAUAAAACCAGCACCAAAGGGUGGACUAGGUCCAGAGGCCCUCUGCUGGAGGCCUUGCAGCCCUGCUUCACCCCGCCCCAGAAAAGAACAGGGGAGAAGUCCUACAGGCAGCCUACAGGGGCUGCUGGAGCAACCAGUCAGGGGCCAGAAGGGGCCUAUAAAAAGAAGCAGCAGAGGCAGAGCAGUCAGUUACUGCCUGGAGCUUGAAGAGGGUGGACCGGGUGCCUGGCUGGUUGGAAGAGCAGCAGGCCUGCAGACAGUUUACUACAGGCAGGACUGAGCAAAGGGAAGGCUGCCAAAGACCAGGUGUCUGGCUGGCUGGAAGAUUAGCAGGACCUGGACAGGUCAAUGCAGAAAGGCUGAGCCCAGGGGACUGAGCCAAGAACCCAGCCAGACCAGAGAGUACUGUGAUGGACUCUGGUUGAAGACUGAGCCCAAGAAAGGCUGCUGAAAAGACACUAACUGAGGGUACCGAGAUGGGCCCCUGUUGGGCUGUUAAAGAAGGCAGUGCCUCUGGGAAGGAAGCCUUCGUGCUACAGCCCCAUACCAGGACUGAGAGAAAGAACUAGAGAGUGUAUACCUCAGAAGGGGAGAUAGUGUGACUCCACCAGAGGGCUGAGUCACCGAAGACCCACCAAACAGCCGUUGGCCAUGGGGGUGCGCAUGAGACGCAGGUGCCACCCUAUUGUAAGAACUCAAAGAAAAGCAGGCUUACACCCAACCAGAAGGAGGGUGUUCAUGAAAGGUGCCACUCCAUUUCAAAACUAAGUGACUGCAGGCACUUUUCAGCCAUAAGGGGAUGCUCACGGGAUAUGGUUGUC
Long non-coding RNA from Mauremys reevesii (Reeves's turtle), 1197 nucleotides. RefSeq lists it as uncharacterized. NCBI's taxonomy places the organism in Eukaryota, Metazoa, Chordata, Testudines, Geoemydidae. The record is from RefSeq and is a predicted model, not a curated record. The transcript is spliced from 4 exons.